Sus scrofa (pig) is the source of this 1789-nucleotide non-coding RNA. NCBI's taxonomy places the organism in Eukaryota, Metazoa, Chordata, Mammalia, Artiodactyla, Suidae. The record is from RefSeq and is a predicted model, not a curated record.
CAAGGGAAAACUGGGAUCUUAUGCUGUUGCUGAGGCAGGGGUUCUUAACCAGGGUCUCUGCAUAACCUAAUAUUCCAUACCAAAUUGUGCGUUUAUAUUCAUUUUUUCUGAGGUGAUCCAUUACUUUCACCUAGUUCUCAAAACACUGCACACCAAGCCACUCUGCUGCUCCUUGUCUAAUGUGGUUUUAAUUUUAUACCAGUAUGCUUUGUCAGUAUCUUGGGUCCACAGUAUGUAUGGCAUUCCAACAUAGUUAAAGCUUUAACAAGGUCUUUGCUGAGUUAAAUAUUUUGGUGCUAGUGUGGAGCCAGGAGUUUAUGAUAGGAAAAUGACUAAAAUGGUCAUAGCCCCCUGCUCUUAAAGGGGUUUAUAUUCUAGACUCUAGAGAAUCUGGAUGACAACAACAAGCUUCUAGUGUUAAUGGAUUAAAUUCUGACCUGGGUGCAUUCAGGGCUUUCUCUCCUUGGAGGAGUUUACUCAAGUAGUUUUGAUUUGAAAGAGGCAUGAUUGUUGCAGACUUAACUCUUGAUGAUAUUAAACAAGCUUGGCAUACAGCUACUUUCAGGAUAUAACUAAGGCCCAGAAUUAACAUACUACUUACUGUUAAGUAUUUAAUAACCAAGGAUGAAUCUGGAACCUUAGGAAGCAUUUGGAAUACUAUUCAGCUGGAAUUGAGUAAGCAUCAUUGGUUCAUCACUAUGACGAGGUGAUCGGUUUUCUUGUAUAUGCAAAAUGAGGGAGUCGAACUGUGUCAGAAGAUAUGAGAAUUGGUAGAGCAAAAAUUUAUAGACAAUGUGUAUUUAUCAUGCUGAGCUCCAAGGAUUGCAGCACUGUCUCAAAUAACUCAGCAGUUGCUUUGCUUCUAAGUACUUUGUUGUCCUUAAAAUGUUCAGCAUGAAACAGCCAAUUUAAAACAUCCUAUAGAAAAACUCAGCUAGUAAAUUUUCUCUUCAGGGGAUUCUUUUUAUUUUUUGAGGUGUGUAUUGAAACAUCCUGAGCCGUCCAUUUUCUGAAGGACGGCAGGGGAAUGCUCAUUUCCUCUUAAUUGUUAGUCUCAGCAUAUUUCUCUAAAGGGAUAGGUUUAACAAGGCUUCCAUGUAAGUGGAUCUUCAAAAAAGAAGCCUGCCAGAGAGAUCUUGGUCUCCUCAGUGUUGAUGUGGCAGUUUGAAGAAUCUGAGCAAAUGGCCCGUCAUUGGUCACUUGGUUCUCCAGUAUGAGUCUCAAGCCGCACUAAUGUGUAAGAACCAUUAACUGUACCAGAGAGGCUUCCUGGUACAGUAGGAAGAGCACUGGACUGGGAGCUUUAUCUGCAUCAUCUUGGACAAGUUAUUAUUUCACUUUUCUGAGCCUCAGGUUCCUUGUUCAUCCCAAACAUUUGUUAAGUAUCUGGUAGGUGCCUAAUACUAUGCGUGGGAAGUUACAAAAAUGGUUCUUGAAGAGCUCACAACCUAAUGAGAAAGACAAUUCUAAAAUGAUGUGGUAAGUUCUUAGGUAGAGAAAAUUACAUGGUGCUCUGGGAAAAGAGGAGGGAGUGAGGGGUUGACAUCAAGAGAAAGUUUUUUGAAAGAGAUGAAUCUAAUAUAAUAUUUUAGAUUAAAUCUUGUAGGAGAGUCCCUCAGGUAGACAAAAAAGGCAAUAAUGUAGUCUAAUGAUUCAAAGCCUAGAUUUUGGAGAUCGGUAUUCCUGAAUUCACGUGUAGAAGCUGCCACUUACUAGCUCUAUGUCCUUAGACUGAUAGUUUUUUGUUCCCUAAAUCUGUUUUCCCAAAUGUAAAAUGGGAAGAUCUGCC